UCUCUUGUGCUCGGGCAUGUACUGUCGCCAGUGAGGUUAAUACCGAGGCACAGUCUUUUGCUGAUUGCAAAUUACACAUCCGAACCCGUCUGUUAGCUUCGGCUUCCAGCAAUUUUUGGAAUCAUUUACG
RNAcentral lists this small nuclear RNA (130 nucleotides) under Scleroderma citrinum Foug A. Its description in RNAcentral is "U4 spliceosomal RNA". It matches the Rfam family "U4 spliceosomal RNA". From Rfam's summary of the family: U4 small nuclear RNA (U4 snRNA) is a component of the major U2-dependent spliceosome. The structure of U4 snRNA from yeast and human has been reported. Lineage: Eukaryota; Fungi; Basidiomycota; Agaricomycetes; Boletales; Sclerodermataceae. The record is from Rfam by way of RNAcentral.